Non-coding RNA from Pelobates cultripes (western spadefoot toad), 117 nucleotides. The record is from the annotation of a GenBank genome assembly. Lineage: Eukaryota; Metazoa; Chordata; Amphibia; Anura; Pelobatidae.
CAUUAAUUUCAUAAAUGGAUGACAAAAUGAUUUCACUGAUAGUCUGUAGUGGGUACCUUACCACUUAUCUUUGAUUCAGUGAAAUCAUUUUGUCAUCCAUUUAUGAAAUUUAGUAUC